UCACCUCCAGCCCCGCCCCUCAUUCACUCCCAUUGGCUGGAGGACCAACUGCUCUCGCCCGAUCCUCCAGCCCCGCCCCCUCUUCCUAUUGGUAUGGAGCUGCUGUCAAUCACCCGACCCGGAGCUGGAACAUGCGCACUUGGGUACGAAGCCGGACUCAGGCGGAAAUUGGCAGCGGGAGAGAAAUUGCUGGGAUAUUAGAGGAGGAGGAUUUACAGAUGUGAGACUCAAACAGACAUCACGUCAAGAUCUGAUUGAUUGAAUUACUCAAUACAUCAGGACCUGAAUAUUAUCGACCUUUGAAUAUGGAAGGAGAAAUGUAUUUCUGUUCUGUUUGUGGGAAAAGAUUUCAAACACCAUUGUGACUGGAAAAGCACUGAGACACACACACCUGAGUGAGAGUGUUCCAGUGCACUGACUGUGGAAAGAGCUUUAACCACUUAAACAGCCUGUAAAAACUACACACCACUCACAUUGGGGAGAAAUCAUACAAAUGUGUGUGGACAAGGCUUCAACUGAUUGUCCAAUUUGGAGUGACACAAGGAUACUGACACCAUGGAGAAACCGUGGAAAUGUGGGGACUGUGGUAAAGGAUUCAAUUAUCCUUGCUGAAAAACCAUCAAUGCGUUCACACUCAGGAAAAACCAUUUACCUGCUCUGUUUGUGGGAAGGGAUUCAGUUGGUCCUCCCAUCUGCUGGAGCACAACAAACUCACACAGAGGAGAGGCCGUUCAGCUGCACCAAUUGUGGAAAGAGGUUCAGGUCUUCAGCCAAUAUCAUUGUGCACCAACAGGUUCACUCUGGGGAGAAACCGUUCACUUGCUCCGUGUGUGGGAAGGAACACACUCACCCAUCCAACCUGCUGAUACACCAGCGAACUCACACAGGCGAGAGGCCAUUCAUCUGCUCUGUGUGUGGGAAGGGAUUCACUCAGCCAUCUAACCUGCUGACACAUCAGCGAAUUCAUAAGUGACUGCAGGAGUUGGAUUCUACUGUUAUUGUCCUUGGAUCAUGUCCAGGACUGAUAUUCUGAUAAUAAUAUGUUUGUUGAUGUUAACAACUCUCAUAACUGGCUGGAGUUUAAUAUUCUGGAGAGGUCACUGGUUUUCAGGACUGCAGUGUCCUUUUUUAAAAGCACCAUCUGUGAUCUUUCCCCUUAAUUCAAGAACUCUCACCAGGAACUAAUUUACAAUAAAAUUAUGAACUUAUAUUUCAAUCCUAAAUUGAUCUUUAAUGCAAAAUCUACAGUUCAGUGAAAGGCUCCACUGAUUAACAGUUCCGAUUAGAAAGUGCUGAUUAAUCCUAACUGACAAUUCUUACUGACUUACACAUUCUUCACAGUGAAACCUCCAGUUUGAAAUUAAAUUAUCAAGAAACAUGAAACAAAACAUUAAAAUAUUUUACAGGCACAUCAAUAAAAGCUUCAUCAAUCAACAUUGAUAUUGAUGAAGUUUGGAAGUCGCUGAGUUCAAUCAUUUCUGACAUAGCAGCAGCAACAUUUGGUAAAGGUGGAACCCACAACAAAGACUGGUUUGAGAUCCACUCAGCAGAGAUGGCAUCUGCCACUGAAGCAAAAAGCAAAACCCACCUGAUGCACAACAUAAACCCAACAGCUGGAACACUGCAUAACUUGAAUGUAGCCAAGACACUUGUGUAAAAGACCGGGAGAAACUGUGUAAGUAAACACUGGAUCAGUCUGCAUCCAGGAAUCUAAACUGCCUGUGACAAUGGAAAUCUGUAACAUAUGGUGGGAUCAAGAGGGCGCUUGGUCCAACUAUCACCAAAAUCGCCCUCCUGAAAUCGGAAUAUGGUGAAGUAUUCACCAACAGAAGUAAACAGAUGUCCCCCUGAGAAAAUAUUUCAAAUAUCUCUGUGACUGGACAUCACUGUGAGCUGUACUCCUCUGAAACGGACAUCCCCCAGUCUCAAUUUGACACUCCCACAUCUUCCUGUCAUGGUUGAGUUGGAUGAGCUCGAAAAGGCCAUUGAUUGUCCAGCAAGCAGAAAGACACCGGCAAGGAUGGAAUUCCAGCUGAACUGCUCAAGCACGGAAAGUCCCAUCUACUGUCACACAUUCAUGACCUCCUCCUUCUCUGUUACAAAGUCUCAUAGAUUGUUUCUUUUGUGUAUUCAAUCUUUUUUCUUUGGUUAGCUCGUGCUAAAUUGCUGAUAACAUGUCAACACCAUGUUUUUUAUUGAUUUACCUAUUAAUUCAUCUGGUAAAUUAUGUUGUUCUCUUUCAUGCAUCUGUGAUUCUCUCAUUGCUUUUCUCACAGUUUAUACCUGAAUAUCUCAUCUCUCUGACAGAUUUAAUAACGUCUUUUUAUUCGGUUAAUCACCUGACUAUCUGGCUCGAUGAGCAGAAUGCACGUCGUCUGUCCUUUCAGAUCAUUAAUUAGCUCACAGCUUCUCAUCUUAUCCUUCUGGACUUGCUUCUAUUGCUGGUCCUUAGUUUUUAAUGUGUUUAAGUGUGGUUAUUGUUGAGAAACGUUUAAUAAAGUUAUUGGAAUUA
Long non-coding RNA from Carcharodon carcharias (great white shark), 2512 nucleotides. RefSeq lists it as uncharacterized. The record is from RefSeq and is a predicted model, not a curated record. The transcript is spliced from 2 exons. NCBI's taxonomy places the organism in Eukaryota, Metazoa, Chordata, Chondrichthyes, Lamniformes, Lamnidae.